Molecule: ribosomal RNA, 160 nt
Filed under: Lactifluus volemus
Lineage: Eukaryota; Fungi; Basidiomycota; Agaricomycetes; Russulales; Russulaceae
Description: Lactarius volemus 5.8S ribosomal RNA
Rfam family: 5.8S ribosomal RNA
About the family: 5.8S ribosomal RNA (5.8S rRNA) is a component of the large subunit of the eukaryotic ribosome. It is transcribed by RNA polymerase I as part of the 45S precursor that also contains 18S and 28S rRNA.
Source: RNAcentral
CAACUUUCAACAACGGAUCUCUUGGCUCUCGCAUCGAUGAAGGACGCAGCGAAAUGCGAUACGUAAUGUGAAUUGCAGAAUUCAGUGAAUCAUCGAAUCUUUGAACGCACCUUGCGCCCCUUGGUAUUCCGAAGGGCACACCCGCUUGAGUGUCGUGAAG